This 28-nucleotide ribosomal RNA is filed under the name Brassica oleracea var. alboglabra (Chinese kale). RNAcentral's name for it is "partial large subunit ribosomal RNA". The record is from RNAcentral. Lineage: Eukaryota; Viridiplantae; Streptophyta; Magnoliopsida; Brassicales; Brassicaceae.
GCGUCAGUCCAUGAGCUGAAAGCAUCGG